UAAAUAUACGUAAGGAGAAGAAGAGAAAAUGAAGCAUAUGCUCAGCUAAGUAGGCACCUUUAAUUUUAAUUAGCUUGUAAAAGAAAAUGCAUAGUCUUCAGAAGCAACGAAGUUUAUUAUUUCAGUACCUGCGUUCAUCACCAAACAGCAACAAUAUUAUUCAUAAUUCAAAAAUGAUUCUUUCAUCUUCUUCUUUAUUAUUAGCCUCUAACUUUUCUUCCACUGCAGGCAAGGUCAUUCCUUGCAAAGUGCGUACCACCAAUAUUUCCACGCAUAUUAGGACACGAAGCAUCUGGAGCUUGGCGGGACAGGCUACCCACUUUGCCACCCACCGUGGAAAUUUACUCCUAAGCCCGCCAAAAUCCACGGAUUAAGCGGUGCGAGUUAGUGCGGGAUUUUUAAGUUUGACGGUUUCAUAUUUUCAGUCUCAUUUAUUUUUUAUUUUUUAUUUUUUGCAGUUUACGCGGGUCGUUUCAAUAGAUUUCGACAGGAUCGUAGUUGUCUUUCUCCUUUAGAAAAAUGAAUGCAACAGCAGAGGUAGUGAAGAACUGAAGAUGCAAAUAUGACGUGGACACAAGGCUACCCCUCUGAUUUGGUAAAGGAGCAGCACCACCAAGUGUAUUUUGGUAUGGCAGGCUUAUAGCUCACUCAACACGCUCUGACUCUAGCUUCACUUCUCACAAUGCUUGCAAUUUCCAGUGGGGGUUAAAUCUCCAUUGGUUACCUAAGCUUUCCAUUGAUGUUCUGGCUGCGAUCUCCUGAGCUAGUCUGUUUCCCUCUCUCGGCGUCCAAGCAAACCCUAUAUCCUGCAAAUCAUUCGAAACUGAAGCUGCUUUCCCCGUUUCUCUACAAAAGGACGCAUCUACAUUUAUUUUUAGCCAAUCUUUCGGUGGAGGUCUCCAGGUGUAUAAGGUAGGAAUGGAUUGGAGAAAAUGGAAGAAGAGCAUGCAAAGUGAAGGAGACAAGAAGAAACAAAGGAGAUGAGCUCAGAGACGUGUGCGUGCCCACAGCUACCCUAUCAGAGCGCAUAGAUUGCAUCGAGCGCGUCGCGCGUCCAGCCAAGCAUCGCGUAGUGUGCGUAUGCACCGCUAUUUGUGUGUACACACAGGCCUGGAUUUCUCGCGAAGUGUGCGGACGCAUGCAUCUGUGCGUCCACACAGGUGUCCGCACAUGACUUCAUUAAAAGAGCACGUGUCUCGUGAUUUGGGAGCUUUGGAGGCCCAUUUCUGAAGUCUUCUAGCUCAUAUUGGAGGGAAAAUGAAGGACAUAACAUAGCAUAUCAUUAGUAUAGUUUUAGGAGUAGUAGUAGG
Non-coding RNA from Arachis ipaensis, 1310 nucleotides. The record is from RefSeq and is a predicted model, not a curated record. NCBI's taxonomy places the organism in Eukaryota, Viridiplantae, Streptophyta, Magnoliopsida, Fabales, Fabaceae.